UUGUCGCAUUAAGCGGAGGAGCAGAUAGCCUUUGUCUUUGGUAUCUUUCUUACCUUUCUGGUUGGUUUUCUGAGGUUAUUGCGGUCACUGUAGACCAUAAUUUGCGUUCUGAAAGUUGUAUAGAGGCUAAAUAUCUAGAAGAAGUUGUUAACUAUCACGGUGGGAGGCAUUACACUUUGCUAUGUCGCUGGGAACCCGAAGAAAAAAUAAAUUCUGAGCUUUCUAGAAAUAAGCGAUAUGAUCUUUUGUCUCAGUUUUGCGCUGAGCACUCUAUAGAAACCCUAUUAGUAGCACAUCAAGCCGACGAUCAAGUCGAAACUCUUUUAUUGCGUUACAGUAAGGGAAGUAGUUUAUAUGGGCUUUCAUGUAUGCAAGAAAAACGGUUUAUAAACAGUUGGGGGGAAAAAAACUUUGCUUCAAUCUUGUACCGACCGUUGCUCCCAUAUACAAAAG
Molecule: long non-coding RNA, 453 nt
Organism: Zophobas morio
Lineage: Eukaryota; Metazoa; Arthropoda; Insecta; Coleoptera; Tenebrionidae
Exons: 5
Source: RefSeq, a predicted model, not a curated record